RNAcentral lists this ribosomal RNA (466 nucleotides) under uncultured Syntrophomonas sp. RNAcentral describes it as "bacterial SSU rRNA". It matches the Rfam family "Bacterial small subunit ribosomal RNA", at positions 338 to 795 of the family's 1533-position model. The record is from RNAcentral. Lineage: Bacteria; Bacillati; Bacillota; Clostridia; Eubacteriales; Syntrophomonadaceae.
CCUACGGGAGGCAGCAGUGGGGAAUAUUGCGCAAUGGGGGAAACCCUGACGCAGCGACGCCGCGUGAGCGAAGAAGGCCUUAGGGUUGUAAAGCUCUGUUUUAAGGGACGAAUGUCUAGAUCAGUAAUAUGGGUUUAGAAUGACGGUACCUUAAGAGGAAGCCCCGGCUAACUACGUGCCAGCAGCCGCGGUAAGACGUAGGGGGCGAGCGUUGUCCGGAAUUACUGGGCGUAAAGAGCACGUAGGCGGGAACUUAAGUCAGGUGUGAAAGACCGGGGCUCAACUCCGGGGUGGCACUUGAAACUGGGUUUCUUGAGGGCAGGAGAGGAAAGCAGAAUUCCUGGUGUAGCGGUGAAAUGCGUAGAAAUCAGGAGGAAUACCAGUGGCGAAGGCGGCUUUCUGGACUGACCCUGACGCUGAGGUGCGAAAGCGUGGGUAGCAAACAGGAUUAGAUACCCGGGUAGUC